RNAcentral lists this unclassified non-coding RNA (176 nucleotides) under soil metagenome. Its description in RNAcentral is "partial internal transcribed spacer 1". The record is from RNAcentral.
CAAGAAGCCGAAAGGCUACUUAAAGCCAUCGCGAACUUAUCCAAGUUGCUUCGGCCGGCGCGGCUCCCCUCACGGGGGACCGCAGCCCCCCGCCUCUCAGGAGGUAAAGGGGCAGCCGCCGGAGGUACGAAACUCUGUAUUAUAGUGGUAUCUCUGAGUAUAAAACAAAUAAGUUA